Molecule: ribosomal RNA, 551 nt
Filed under: uncultured prokaryote
Description: bacterial SSU rRNA
Rfam family: Bacterial small subunit ribosomal RNA
Source: RNAcentral
UGGGGAAUCUUGCGCAAUGGACGAAAGUCUGACGCAGCCACGCCGCGUGAGUGAAGAAGGCCUUCGGGUUGUAAAGCUCUGUCGGAGGGGACAAAAACCACUUAGGUUAAUAGCCUAGGUGCUUGAUGGUACCCUUAAAGGAAGCACCGGCUAACUUCGUGCCAGCAGCCGCGGUAAUACGAAGGGUGCAAGCGUUGCUCGGAAUUAUUGGGCGUAAAGGGUAGGUAGGUGGUGACAAAAGUCUAGGGUGAAAUCCCUGAGCUCAACUCAGGACGUGCCUUGGAAACUUUGUUACUAGAGUACUGGAGAGGUUCGUAGAAUUCCUGGUGUAGCGGUGAAAUGCGUAGAUAUCAGGAGGAAUACCAGAGGCGAAGGCGACGAACUGGACAGUAACUGACACUCAACUACGAAAGCGUGGGUAGCAAACAGGAUUAGAUACCCUGGUAGUCCACGCUGUAAACGAUCGGUACUAGGAUUUGUGGGAGUUGACCCCUGCAGAUCCGGAGCUAACGCGAUAAGUACCGCGCCUGGGAAGUACGGUCGCAAGACUA